CUUUGGUAGUGGUAUGACUAUAUGAUGUGUGGAACUGUUGAAGCCAUCUUGUCACUAUGAGGUCACAACUUCAAGGAUGAGAGGCCCACACACUGUGGAUGCCCAAAUAGAAGGAUGAGAAAAGCCUGGGUUUUUGAUGGCAUUGCUGAGCUUCAGAACAAACCCUAGGCUCACCUAUCUCCAGCCUCUCAUCAAGGAAAACAACAAUUGUCUUUAUGGUUCAAAUCACUGACUCCCCAGACUCAUCAGCCAGUGGCACAAAUGGGGCUCAUGUCAGCAUCAAUGGCUUACAGUUCAUGGCUCUUGCCCUCACCGGCCGACAGACGAUCUCGCAUCCUUGCAAAGUCUUCCUAAGGCCUCCAGCUGACUCUCUCCAUCCUCAUCUCUUAGAUUUUGAGCCUUCUGGGAGUGAUGCCAGGACUGUCUUGAGGGCAGGAGCUGUUUAUGUUUUGCGGUUGAGCACCUCCCAGUUGCCUUGCCCAUGGUUGUUGCUCAGAGAAAUUGUUG
Molecule: long non-coding RNA, 507 nt
Filed under: Equus asinus (donkey)
Lineage: Eukaryota; Metazoa; Chordata; Mammalia; Perissodactyla; Equidae
Description: lncRNA (ENSEASG00005038594.1)
Source: RNAcentral